GACGAACGCUGGCGGCGCGCCUAACGCAUGCAAGUCAAACGAGAGAGAAGGAGCGUGCUUCUUCGAUCGAGUGGCGAACGGGUGAGUAACGCGUGAGGAACCUGCCUCAAAGAGGGGGACAACAGUUGGAAACGACUGCUAAUACCGCAUAAGCCCACGGGUCGGCAUCGACCUGAGGGAAAAGGAGCAAUCCGCUUUGAGAUGGCCUCGCGUCCGAUUAGCUAGUUGGUGAGGUAACGGCCCACCAAGGCGACGAUCGGUAGCCGGACUGAGAGGUUGAACGGCCACAUUGGGACUGAGACACGGCCCAGACUCCUACGGGAGGCAGCAGUGGGGAAUAUUGCACAAUGGGGGAAACCCUGAUGCAGCGACGCCGGCGUGGAAGAAGAAGGUCUUCGGAGUGUAAACUCCUGUUGUUGAGGAAGAUAAUGACUGUACUCAACAAGGAAGUGACGGCUAACUACGUGCCAGCAGCCGCGGUAAGACGCAGGUCACAAGCGUUGUCAGGAAUUAAUGGGUGUAAAGGGAGCGCAGGCGGGAAGACAAGUUGGAAGUGAAAUCUAUGGGCUCAACCCAUAAACUGCUUUCAUAAUUGUUUUUCUUGAGUAGUGCAGAGGUAGGCGGAAUUCCCGGUGUAGCGGUGGAAUGCGUAGAUAUCGGGAGGAACACCAGUGGCGAAGGCGGCCUACUGGGCACCAACUGACGCUGAGGCUCGAAAGUGUGGGUAGCAAACAGGAUUAGAUACCCUGGUAGUCCACACCGUAAACGAUGAUUACUAGGUGUUGGAGGAUUGACCCCUUCAGUGCCGCAGUUAACACAAUAAGUAAUCCACCUGGGGAGUACGACCGCAAGGUUGAAACUCAAAGGAAUUGACGGGGGCCCGCACAAGCAGUGGAGUAUGUGGUUUAAUUCGACGCAACGCGAAGAACCUUACCAAGUCUUGACAUCCCUUGACGAACAUAGAAAUAUGUUUUCUCUUCGGAGCAAGGAGACAGGUGGUGCAUGGUUGUCGUCAGCUCGUGUCGUGAGAUGUUGGGUUAAGUCCCGCAACGAGCGCAACCCUUAUGGUCAGUUACUACGCAAGAGGACUCUGGCCAGACUGCCGUUGACAAAACGGAGGAAGGUGGGGAUGACGUCAAAUCAUCAUGCCCUUUAUGACUUGGGCUACACACGUACUACAAUGGCGUUAAACAAAGAGAAGCGAGACCGCGAGGUGGAGCAAAACUCAGAAACAACGUCCCAGUUCGGACUGCAGGCUGCAACUCGCCUGCACGAAGUCGGAAUUGCUAGUAAUCGUGGAUCAGCAUGCCACGGUGAAUACGUUCCCGGGCCUU
Molecule: ribosomal RNA, 1334 nt
Filed under: uncultured bacterium
Lineage: Bacteria
Description: bacterial SSU rRNA
Rfam family: Bacterial small subunit ribosomal RNA
Source: RNAcentral